GUUCAUUACUUCCUCAUAACGUGGUUUUCAUAGAUAUCUUGUCAAGUGGCAUGGUCCUUCUAAUACCGAUGCUACUUGGAUUACCAAAAAGGUUAAACUUUGGAUCUUUUGUUUUUUUGUUGGAUUCUUAUCUGUAGUUCAACUCUAUGGAGUUGAGUUCUUUUCAACCAAGAGGGAAUGAUGCAUGAUCUUCUAAUAAGGAUUUUAGAUCUACUUAUUUUCAGAAGAAUUUUAGAAAGUAGUAUUUUAGUUUGUGUAGUAUUCCUAAUUAGUUUGUUU
This 279-nucleotide unclassified non-coding RNA is filed under the name Hevea brasiliensis (rubber tree). The record is from RNAcentral. Lineage: Eukaryota; Viridiplantae; Streptophyta; Magnoliopsida; Malpighiales; Euphorbiaceae.